GUGAAUCAUCGAAUCUUUGAACGCAAAUUGCACUCUCCGGUUUUCCGGGGGAGGUUGCCUGUUUGGGGGUCUGUUUAAAAAAUAAUCGGGUGUUCUGCGGUGGUGGUCCUUCGGAAUUGGGUCAUCUUUCACCUUUCGGUUGUAAGCGACCUAAAAUUUUUUUUACGAUUUCUACGAACGUGUUUAAGUAUUUUUUUUACGUUCUCGACAG
RNAcentral lists this unclassified non-coding RNA (211 nucleotides) under Glomus sp. RNAcentral describes it as "partial contains 5.8S ribosomal RNA and internal transcribed spacer 2". The stretch from base 1 to 72 matches the Rfam family "5.8S ribosomal RNA", at positions 84 to 154 of the family's 154-position model. Lineage: Eukaryota; Fungi; Glomeromycota; Glomeromycetes; Glomerales; Glomeraceae. The record is from RNAcentral.